CGGCUACAUCACGUUAAAACACCGGUUCCCGUACAAUCAUUAAAGUUAAGCAACGUCGAGCCUGGUCAGUAACUAGAUGGGAGACUGCUUGAGACUACCAGGUGAUGU
Non-coding RNA from Acanthosepion pharaonis, 108 nucleotides. NCBI's taxonomy places the organism in Eukaryota, Metazoa, Mollusca, Cephalopoda, Sepiida, Sepiidae. The record is from the annotation of a GenBank genome assembly.